AUUGAACGCUGGCGGCAUGCCUUACACAUGCAAGUCGAACGGCAGCACGGACUUCGGUCUGGUGGCGAGUGGCGAACGGGUGAGUAAUAUAUCGGAACAUACCCUAGAGUGGGGGAUAACGUAGCGAAAGUUACGCUAAUACCGCAUACGAACUAAGGUUGAAAGUGGGGGAUCGCAAGACCUCAUGCUCAUGGAGUGGCCGAUAUCUGAUUAGCUAGUUGGUGAGGUAAAGGCUCACCAAGGCGACGAUCAGUAGCUGGUCUGAGAGGACGACCAGCCACACUGGAACUGAGACACGGUCCAGACUCCUACGGGAGGCAGCAGUGGGGAAUUUUGGACAAGUGGGGGCAACCCUGAUCCAGCAAUGCCGCGUGAGUGAAGAAGGCC
RNAcentral lists this ribosomal RNA (387 nucleotides) under uncultured bacterium. Its description in RNAcentral is "bacterial SSU rRNA". It matches the Rfam family "Bacterial small subunit ribosomal RNA", at positions 30 to 416 of the family's 1533-position model. The record is from RNAcentral.